GACGAACGCUGGCGGCGUGCUUAACACAUGCAAGUCGAACGAAGAGCGACGGAAGCUUGCUUCUAUCAUUCUUAGUGGCGAACGGGUGAGUAACGCGUAAUCAACCUGCCCUUCAGAGGGGGACAACAGUUGGAAACGACUGCUAAUACCGCAUACGAUCUAAUCUCGGCAUCGAGGAUGGAUGAAAGGUGGCCUCUACAUGUAAGCUAUCACUGAAGGAGGGGAUUGCGUCUGAUUAGCUAGUUGGAGGGGUAACGGCCCACCAAGGCGAUGAUCAGUAGCCGGUCUGAGAGGAUGAACGGCCACAUUGGGACUGAGACACGGCCCAGACUCCUACGGGAGGCAGCAGUGGGGAAUCUUCCGCAAUGGACGAAAGUCUGACGGAGCAACGCCGCGUGAGUGAUGACGGCCUUCGGGUUGUAAAGCUCUGUUAAUCGGGACGAAAGGCCUUCUUGCGAAUAGUGAGAAGGAUUGACGGUACCGGAAGAGAAAGCCACGGCUAACUACGUG
This 510-nucleotide ribosomal RNA is filed under the name uncultured bacterium. Its description in RNAcentral is "partial 16S ribosomal RNA". It matches the Rfam family "Bacterial small subunit ribosomal RNA", at positions 28 to 507 of the family's 1533-position model. The record is from RNAcentral.